UGGGGAAUAUUGGACAAUGGGCGAAAGCCUGAUCCAGCCAUGCCGCGUGUGUGAAGAAGGUCUUCGGAUUGUAAAGCACUUUAAGUUGGGAGGAAGGGCAGUAAGUUAAUACCUUGCUGUUUUGACGUUACCGACAGAAUAAGCACCGGCUAACUCUGUGCCAGCAGCCGCGGUAAUACAGAGGGUGCAAGCGUUAAUCGGAAUUACUGGGCGUAAAGCGCGCGUAGGUGGUUUGUUAAGUUGGAUGUGAAAGCCCCGGGCUCAACCUGGGAACUGCAUCCAAAACUGGCAAGCUAGAGUACGGUAGAGGGUGGUGGAAUUUCCUGUGUAGCGGUGAAAUGCGUAGAUAUAGGAAGGAACACCAGUGGCGAAGGCGACCACCUGGACUGAUACUGACACUGAGGUGCGAAAGCGUGGGGAGCAAACAGGAUUAGAUACCCCGUAGUCCCUGAGCGGGCUGGCAAGGCGCAU
RNAcentral lists this ribosomal RNA (471 nucleotides) under uncultured bacterium. RNAcentral's name for it is "bacterial SSU rRNA". It matches the Rfam family "Bacterial small subunit ribosomal RNA", at positions 355 to 825 of the family's 1533-position model. The record is from RNAcentral.